CUCAAGUAGCAAUAUCAGUAAUAUUUCUUCACCUCUGUAGCUCUUUUGGUUUACAAUUGUAUAUCAGAAUUUUAGUGAUAGGUCCAUGUAUGUGAGAAUAUAAUUAAGCUUAAGGUUUGGACCUCUAAAUAAUACAUCUUCAGUCUGACAAUUAAUAAUAAGCUUUUAAUUUUGCAGCUACUUCUAAUAAACAAGCAAAAAAAUAGUUAUGUUUACAUUAAAGUGAUUUGAUUUGCGCGACUUAGCACACAGGAAUCUUAAAUUAACAGAAGAUUUAUGAUUGCAGUUGUUUUCAGCACACGUUUAAAAUCUGCUUUGAUGUUUAUCAUCCCGUGUUCAUUCGGGGGACACAGACUCCUGCCAGUUGCCAGGCUAGGCUGCAGAGCGGAUGUAGCUGAAGUAGACUUGACGCUCAAAUGUGGUUAAAAACAUGAAACAUCGACUUCCUCAGCAGAACCAAUGGUGACAGCACAGCGCUGAUUCACAAAUGACAAACACCUUUGUAACACACUACUUCCAUAUCAUUGCAGGCAGGCUCAGAUUACAUAUCAUGGAGUUUUAGUACAACAUAUCUCAACAAUUCACAAAAGCUGCGCCACAUAGGGUAAAGCUGAUUUUCAGUACAGCUAAUUGUUACCAAAAAUACAGCACUAUAAAUAACUUCACAAUGUAACAUAUUUAGGCUAUUUAUUGGAUUAGAGGGGUCAUGAUGGUCUAAAUUAGCCCUCUAGCUGCUGACCGGUACCCUAAGCCCAGGUAGGGACCUAAUUAAGAAAAGCCGCCAGUGAGAUCAGCUUUUUAACAAGCUAUUAAUAGCAGUUUGGGUCUAAUCUUGGGAAUGGCCAGUGAAAACGGUCAAGCUGUCAGUAAACUUGGACCAGGAUGUCCUGGUGCAAGUAGGACACAGAAGCACAUAUGCAAAAAAAAAAAGACAAACACAUAAGGCAUCACUUGACCAUCUAUCUUUGCCCUUUCAUAACAUUUUCACUACAACAGAUGCGUGUCUCCCUGUGAAAAGAAACCACGACCUAAAGGGUGAGUAAGCCCUUGGACCUUUAAUAUGAGAAUCAAACAAACAAGGACACAGAUAAAAGUACACUGGAAAUUAACAAAAAGCUGUCACAAUAAACACAUCUUCACACAAUGCCACCUCCACUGAAGUAGGCUAAAGGAAAAAGGACAAAGUGUGAACGAGGAAGAAUGGAGUUUCGCAAGACUGCAAAGUGAGUUACAUGCCAUGAUAGUUCCUCUAUUUUGUUCUGCUUACUGUUUUUUCAUUAAUUCAUAGUAGUGAAACUGACAUUUGUCUUCCUAUUGUGUUCCUAGCAGUACAAGCAUUACAUGGUAGCUGGCCUAUACUCGUCUUACAGUAAAUACACACCAUUUCACCCAUUACUCAUGAGUGCCUACUAUCAAUUUGGAAACUGAAAAUGCAUCUGAGUGGCUAUUAAAAAGAAUGAACGCACGACAUAAUUUCAGUAAUACAGCAGUAAUAAAUAUUGCUCUCAUUAAAUACAAAUACAUUCAUUUUAACCAGUCAGUUAGAUUUCAUGUGAUUAAUAGAAACAGUGCCACACACAAACCGAAACGUGAAGACAGAGAGAGGAUGAUGGGGAAGCGGAUGAGGGCUAAUGAAUGGGUAUUAACACUGAAAAUAAGCAAAUCUACUGCGCCAUAUGCAGUACCCUGUUAUCUAUAAGCAAAAACUUGCAAUGAAGGAAUCUACUUGCGUAACGUUUAAAACAUCAGAAAGGGGGUUAAAACGCUCGUAGAGAGAAGCCGUAGACAUAUUUAUUUAUUUUGAUAAAAAACAGAGCGAUAAAUCCAUCAGGGAGAUACCCCCACACAGGAGCUGCCCCGCGAGGAGAGGACACCGAGGCUCUGCUGAGGUGGUGUAGUUUUUUUGGUUGGGUGUCAUCGUCAGAUGGUAGUAGCAUGGAGCCUGAAAAACUGUCAGUAUAGUGGUUUACACAUUUGCUAGGCAGAUCCCUGGUUCUGUCCCGAGGGGAGGCACAAGUCCCUGUGGGGUUCUGCCAGGAAGGGCAUCCGGUGUAAGAAGAAAAAAAGUAAAACAAAUUGCCAAAUCAAACAUGCUGAGCUACCAGCUGUAGCGACCCCUUGUGAACAAGGGAGCAGCUGAAGGUAGCUCACAUACUUUCUGUCUUUCUUGCAUCUCAAUUUAUAAAUGUAAAUACUUCUUACUUACAUUUGUAAUCCCUAGUCAGGACACAUAACUCCACAAUAUUUAGUUAUGCUCUUAGAUAAUAUGAUGUUAUAAUUUGACCCUGCAUGAGUAAAAUUCGGUCUAUUGCCAAUGCCGUAUGCAGCAAUACUUGCAGAUUAAAAAACGAAAAGAAAAAUCUGAUCUGAUCUGGAGUCACAUCGCUGCCAUCACAUGAUUUGCUGAUUUUCCCUCAUUAAAGUUUAUGGCAGGACAGGCUGCCUCAAUGUUAUUAUUGGUGUGUUCAACAGUGCCUUAUACCUGAAAACGAAGAAAGGAAUUUCUUUUACACAUCUGGAAAUUGUGUCUUGAGCCCAAACUCUUAAAAACAGAUGCAGUUUGUGUGGAAGAAAAAAGGGAAUUAACUUUUCAGAUGCUGUGCAGGUCCCUGAGGACCCGUGAGGAGUGCACAACCACCUCGUGGCUUGAUGGAAGGAGGCUUUGCACCAAUAAGCCUGCUUAAAUCCUUCUGCCUAAAAACACCCACCCCACUUAAACACUAUGUUUCUCUAGCUCCUCAGUCAUAAUUAGUUUCACCAAGUUUUAGCAUUUAGGCGUAGAUUAUACUAUGAAACAAUGGCGAAGCCUUUACCAUAAUUUGGCCAAAGCAGGACAGGAUGUAACGGUUUAGAAUAUCCAACAGUAUUUAUUUAAAUAAUUUUACAUGUUUUAUACAUAUUAAACACACAAAAGUAUUAAGUUUAAUCUCAGUGGUGCAAUGAGUUAAUUCAAAAAUUGAAAUUACAUCAGUGGUGCUUCAAAUUGAAAUCGACUUAUCCAAAGUAUUAAAUGAACAAAUUAGCAUAGUCUACCUAUAAAGUGCAACUCGCCAUGCCCAGCUAGCUGA
Molecule: long non-coding RNA, 3068 nt
Organism: Oreochromis niloticus (Nile tilapia)
Lineage: Eukaryota; Metazoa; Chordata; Actinopteri; Cichliformes; Cichlidae
Exons: 3
Source: RefSeq, a predicted model, not a curated record